RNAcentral lists this transfer RNA (67 nucleotides) under Marmota monax (woodchuck). It matches the Rfam family "tRNA". Rfam says of the family: Transfer RNA (tRNA) molecules are approximately 80 nucleotides in length. Their secondary structure includes four short double-helical elements and three loops (D, anti-codon, and T loops). Lineage: Eukaryota; Metazoa; Chordata; Mammalia; Rodentia; Sciuridae. The record is from Rfam by way of RNAcentral.
GGUUGUAGCUCAAUGGUAGAGUGCUUGCCUAUCAUGCAUGAAGUACUGGGUUCGAUCCUCAGAACCA